RNAcentral lists this long non-coding RNA (321 nucleotides) under Mytilus galloprovincialis (Mediterranean mussel). The record is from RNAcentral. Lineage: Eukaryota; Metazoa; Mollusca; Bivalvia; Mytilida; Mytilidae.
GUGAUGCUUGUGUUUUGUCAGAAUAAAGAGUACAAAGAUGAGUGUUUCCCCUAUCACACAGUGGGAAUGGUAACUCCAAUAAAAACGGGCAUCUAGAGCAUGCAAAAGAUUAACAAAAGGGCACAUAAAUUAUGCUAAGAAUCAAAGAAAGGGAAAUGCAUGGUUAUAUUGCAUUGGUAAAGUAUGGACUGAUAGUUGUUGAUGGAAUCAGAGCUCAAGACAGUAAUCAAUAAAAGUGUAAUGUUUUAAAACAUUUUGAGUUUUUAAAUUUCCCGCCUGUAUUUCUAUUUAAAAGGUCUCUGUAAAUAUGCCAUUCAUGGC